AAAAAGAGGUGAAGUUUCAGAAAUUUUUUAUCAUUGAAAAAUUGAACUCAUCACUGGUAUGGAAACGUGUACGUGGCUGCAGCAAGAGAAAUAGCAGAACAAAAUAAAAAUUUGGUCGUCAUGUCUCCAUGCUCUCCACUCCCUGCUGUUUCUCAGAUUUCAGGCCUGAGCCAGCCAUCGUAACCAUAAGAUGUCCCAUAUGUUUUAAUACUGACCUGACAUCACCAGCAAUCUCUGCAUCAUCAAUUGGCUUAUAGCGGUCCUCGUGUACACCACUAACCCAUGUGAAGGUGUGUGUAUAUUCGCGAUGACCCCCUUUUCCUAUCCUGCCUGGCGUCAACUUUACUGAAGAUGGAGCACUUGUGGAGGCCUGGCUGUGGAUUUCCCAGGCUUAAAGAUUCGAGCCAGCCAUCAUAAAACCACACAAUAUGCAAGUUUUUCUUGUGCAGGUGUUAACCUGUCACUGUCACCGUCACCCAUCAACAAUCUCAGGAUCAUUGCUUGGAUAAAAAGCAUCCCAUUUGCACUGGAAAACUACCGAUGUCAAUCGAGUGACGGAUCUCUCUUCUUCCCCUUUUUUAAAAUGUCCUCGUGUACGCCCAUGUGAAUGUGGGUGUAUUCACGAGGACACCCUUUUUACCCUAUCCCGUCUGGUUGUAAUUUCAACUCUUCAGCGGAUGGAUGGAGCAACUGACGAAGAUGCCUGGCUGUAUUUCCCAGGUAUAAAGGUAGGACAAAAUUGAUCUCUUUUCCUUUUUGGCAAUUUUGAGUGGCGUCGAUUAUAAAUCGUAGUCACGGAGGAUGUUUAUUCCGGAGCUAGGCGGUUGACUGAAACUGUUUUCUCUCUCCGUUUUGGUUUUUUCUCAGUCAGGGUUCACUAAAAAUCUCAUUUGUCGAAUGACUGCAGAUCAGGCUUGUUUUAUUUUGUACCUCACAACUUUUUCUGUGAGUAAACCAUCACAUUUGAAAAAUAUUUGAACCUCUUACGAAAGCGACGAUGAGAGUAACGGCGAUGAACGACAUGCGGCGUAAUUUGCGGUAAUAGUGGGCGUCGUGUUCUAGGAGGCGCUCCAGCCGCUCGAUGGCGGAAAUGAUUUCGGCGAAGCUGCCGAAGGUCAUGCAAUACAAAACCGCGUGAGCCAAAACGUUGCCAAGAAAGAAAUUGAUGUAAUCAACGAAUUCGUUCAUGGUAGACAGUGUUAAGGUAGGAGCGUAUUUCACGUAACGGUAGCCGUUCCAUCCGAUGUUGAACGUGAGGCAAACGGCGGCGUAGAAGCGUAGAAAAUAGCGAGUCCCUCUUUUUCCUCUGACUAAUUCAUCAUCCAGUUGGAAAUGGAUGCCGCAAAAUUGCAGGAAUUUCAGGAUCGGCUCAACGGCUUCCGAGAACGAAGCCAUUUUUGAAAUGUCUCUCAGCUUCAAAGUGCGGCGCCAGCCAAACUGAACUGCUCAUUUAUCAAUUUGACUCACUGGGGUUCCUCUCUUGGUGGGGUUGACGAUUGCGCCGUGACGCCAUAAUGUCACCGCCGGCCUUUAUAACCCCAAUAUCUUUGAUGAAUGGGCUGAAACUGUAAACGUCAAUCUAAAAAAAAAGCCAACGCAAUUUGUUAAAUGGUUUUUUAUUUAUUUAUUCUUAUUUUCUCGAACGUUUUGUUGCGUCACGGCGUUUGACCUCGGUGACGAUAGAUAGCGCUAUCGUGAGUUGCCCAUCUUGGGACCUUAUAUAGCCUCAUCUUUUUGUGAUAUCACCCGAUGAUUUAUAUCUCUCUCGCCCGAAAGAGAUGACAUACAAAAAGAGCUGCAACACAACAUUUCAUUGCCACGCACUCAGUGAAUGAUGAUCGAUCCCGUUUCAAAUGCGUCCCACAUGUAGAAUAUAGCCCACGAUCUCAUGAUAUAGGGAAGAAAAAUAUUGGACACAGAAGUUGCUAAAAAAGAUAUGCUGGGGGGUGACUUUUUUCUUUUCUUUCGAAUGGGAUCAAGAUGCGAUACAUAACACGUUAUAGCGAGGAAAAGGCAAGGCAAAAAAAAUUAAUGUAUACCAAAAGACCUAUUUCCCUAAUGGAGCCGCCGACCCAGGGGAAUGACAAGGCACAGCAGCGCCAACCGGAAUAUAAAUAUAUAGAUACUUAUAUAUAUAUAUAUCUGGCAAUAUAUAGAGCAGCAGCAAUAUAGCUGGUGAUGGUUUCCAACACAUCUCUCGCCCCACCCCUGCUGCUGCUCUAUAGCUGGCUGUAUUUUAUAUAUCUAUUUCUUUAGUUUUCUUCCCCGCACUAUAUACUAUAUGACAAGGGUACCUUUCGCGGGUGAGCGUGUACACAUAAAAAAGGGGGGAAAAUGAUCAAUACCAACCACUACUAGUAUAUAGUAUGUGUGUACACCGGCUCACGCGUCCUGUGUACACACACACAUAUCUAUCUGAUGUAGACAGCGGUAUAUACUGAGAGUUUAUACGAGCGGAUAAAAAAAAGAGAAGAAUAAGUCGACGACCGUGAACUUAUUCACACGCUCACUCACGAAU
This is a long non-coding RNA of Daphnia pulex (common water flea), 2518 nucleotides long. RefSeq lists it as uncharacterized. The record is from RefSeq and is a predicted model, not a curated record. NCBI's taxonomy places the organism in Eukaryota, Metazoa, Arthropoda, Branchiopoda, Diplostraca, Daphniidae. The transcript has 5 exons.